UUACGGUCAAAUCACGCUGAAACACCGGUUCUCGUACGAUCACCGAAGCUAAGCAUCGUAGAGCCAGGUCAGUACUUAGAUGGGGGACCGCUUGGGAACACCUGGUACUGUAAG
Acanthosepion pharaonis is the source of this 114-nucleotide non-coding RNA. NCBI's taxonomy places the organism in Eukaryota, Metazoa, Mollusca, Cephalopoda, Sepiida, Sepiidae. The record is from the annotation of a GenBank genome assembly.